RNAcentral lists this ribosomal RNA (253 nucleotides) under uncultured bacterium. RNAcentral describes it as "partial 16S ribosomal RNA". It matches the Rfam family "Bacterial small subunit ribosomal RNA", at positions 524 to 776 of the family's 1533-position model. The record is from RNAcentral.
UACAGAGGGGGCAAGCGUUGUUCGGAAUUACUGGGCGUAAAGGGCGCGUAGGCGGCCUUCUAAGUCGAACGUGAAAUCCCCGGGCUCAACCCGGGAACUGCGUCCGAUACUGGAAGGCUUGAAUCCGGGAGAGGCGUGUGGAAUUCCGGGUGUAGUGGUGAAAUGCGUAGAGAUCCGGAGGAACACCAGUGGCGAAGGCGACACGCUGGGCCGUACCUGACACUGAUGCGCGACAGCAUGGGGAGCAAACAGG